AGAUGGCGACCGGCGCACGGGUGAGUAACACGUAUCUAACCUGCCGAUAACUCGGGGAUAGCCUUUCGAAAGAAAGAUUAAUACCCGAUGGUAUAAUCAGACCGCAUGGUUUGAUUAUUAAAGAAUUUCGGUUAUCGAUGGGGAUGCGUUCCAUUAGGCAGUUGGUGAGGUAACGGCUCACCAAACCUUCGAUGGAUAGGGGUUCUGAGAGGAAGGUCCCCCACAUUGGAACUGAGACACGGUCCAA
Molecule: ribosomal RNA, 247 nt
Filed under: uncultured bacterium
Lineage: Bacteria
Description: partial 16S ribosomal RNA
Rfam family: Bacterial small subunit ribosomal RNA
Source: RNAcentral